ACAACGUUUCCAAAGAUCUGGAUUUUUUUAAGUCAUUCUUACACCCUUUUUGGUUUCCCGGAAUCUGGUUUCUCCUCGGCAACGUCCUCGUUACCGAAACCUUUUUAGCGUUCCAGGCGUUUCUGUUCGUUCUUUUCGGUGCUUUAUGGUACUUUCAAGCAGGAAAAACCCCCCAGAAACGAGCCCUCCGGGUGCCACCGACCGUUUCAGACGUGCCGCAUCGACCCCCCACUGCGUCCCCCCCGUUCCUUCUCCCCGCCCGCCGCCCGGGCCGGCGGGAACACAGCACACCAAAGAGACAGGAUUUCUGCAAGCCAAAGAUGUUUUAACCCGCCAUUUCUCCUCGCCAUGGCUGGUGCGGGCGGUCGGGCGGCGCCGGGGAGGCCCCCCGAGCUCCCAGCCCUCUCUCGGCCGCGGCCGCCCCGCGAGCGGUGACCGAGCGCGGCCGCGGCUCUUUAAAGAGACACUUGAGACUUUUUUUAUGUGCUACUUAAUCGAAACCAAAGAAACGUUUUUUCUGCACCUACUUCUUCUGCAACAAACUGUUCCAUGGAAAGAUAAAAUAAAAAUUAAAAAAACAAAACAAUAAAAAACCAACGACAAGGAAGCGCGUCAGGAAGCAAACGAGUCCCACACUGUGUUUUACAGACACCUCGGACGUUUUCGGAAGCAGAUCUCGAAGAAAGGGUUGACCAAGAACGAGAACAAAGCAAAGCCAGUCCAAUUGCUGCUUCAUUUGACAACUCCAGUCCUCCUAAAGUUGAAGAUUGUCUUUAAUUUGUGCCUAUGCAGUUUUUUCAAAGAGAACAAGGAACAGAGCAACCGAAACCUCAACAGCUACAAUACCAAAGAUGAGGAUUCUCACGACUUGUGUUUCAGUUUGUUUUCUCCUCUUGCACGACUAAUGCACACACCCCCACUGGUCUCUGGACAGACUGGUGUGCACAGAGAGCAUCCCAGCAUCUCCCGGCCCGGGAACUUGGAGUUACAAUGUGGGCACAGCCCAGAUGAAUUCAACUUUCAAGAAAUUAUUGCUUUAACUGCCCCCGAAGGAACAAGGAAUGUGCUCCAUGACUUCGGUUGAAUAGCUUUAUUCUGGAUCUCUCUCACCUACAGCUGAACCCAAAGACCUGAGAAGGACCCAACCAGCAAACCUCGCUCCCCCCUGCCCGAGGGAAGGGGGAUCCCAGCCCUGCAGGAGGGAAGGGGGAUCCCCCCUCCCCGAGGAAGACACGGUAACAACACAAGCUGGCUUCGGACACAGCCAGUGCUUUCCUUGCUUGUCACAGUUCCUGAGUGGUUUUGAGACAUGGGGAAACUUUC
Pseudopipra pipra is the source of this 1323-nucleotide long non-coding RNA. RefSeq lists it as uncharacterized. NCBI's taxonomy places the organism in Eukaryota, Metazoa, Chordata, Aves, Passeriformes, Pipridae. The transcript is spliced from 2 exons. The record is from RefSeq and is a predicted model, not a curated record.